RNAcentral lists this transfer RNA (80 nucleotides) under Sphingobacteriales bacterium. Its description in RNAcentral is "tRNA-Leu". It matches the Rfam family "tRNA". Rfam says of the family: Transfer RNA (tRNA) molecules are approximately 80 nucleotides in length. Their secondary structure includes four short double-helical elements and three loops (D, anti-codon, and T loops). RNAcentral also lists the same sequence under 1 other name. Lineage: Bacteria; Pseudomonadati; Bacteroidota; Sphingobacteriia; Sphingobacteriales. The record is from RNAcentral.
GCGGGUGUGGCGAAAUUGGUAGACGCACUAGACUUAGGAUCUAGCGGGUAACCAUGGGGGUUCGAGUCCCUCCACCCGCA